AGGAUCAACGCUGGCGGCGUGCCUAACACAUGCAAGUCGAACGAGAAAGGGGGAGCAAUCCCUGAGUACAGUGGCGCACGGGUGAGUAACACGUGACUAACCUACCCUCGAGCGGGGAAUAACCAAGGGAAACCUUGGCUAAUACCGCAUAAUACCUACGGGUCAAAGGAGUAAUCCACUUGAGGAGGGGGUCGCGGCCGAUUAGCUAGUUGGCGGGGUAAUGGCCCACCAAGGCAGUGAUCGGUAUCCGGCCUGAGAGGGCGCACGGACACACUGGAACUGAAACACGGUCCAGACUCCUACGGGAGGCAGC
This 313-nucleotide ribosomal RNA is filed under the name uncultured prokaryote. Its description in RNAcentral is "bacterial SSU rRNA". It matches the Rfam family "Bacterial small subunit ribosomal RNA", at positions 26 to 352 of the family's 1533-position model. The record is from RNAcentral.